Molecule: ribosomal RNA, 254 nt
Filed under: uncultured bacterium
Lineage: Bacteria
Description: partial 16S ribosomal RNA
Rfam family: Bacterial small subunit ribosomal RNA
Source: RNAcentral
UACGAGGGGAGCAAGCGUUGUUCGGAUUUACUGGGCGUAAAGGGCGCGUAGGCGGCCACGACAAGUCACUUGUGAAAUCUCCGGGCUUAACUCGGAACGGUCAAGUGAUACUGUCGGGCUAGAGUACAGAAGGGGCAACUGGAAUUCUCGGUGUAGCGGUGAAAUGCGUAGAUAUCGAGAGGAACACCUGCGGCGAAGGCGGGUUGCUGGGCUGAUACUGACGCUGAGGAGCGAAAGCGUGGGGAGCGAACAGG